UACGGGGGGAGCAAGCGUUGUUCGGAUUUACUGGGCGUAAAGGGUGCGUAGGUGGGCAGGUAAGUCAGUGGUGAAAUCUCCGGGCUUAACCCGGAAACUGCCAUUGAUACUAUCAGUCUUGAAUACCGUGGAGGUAAGCGGAAUAUGUCAUGUAGCGGUGAAAUGCUUAGAUAUGACAUAGAACACCAAUUGCGAAGGCAGCUUACUACCCGAAUAUUGACACUGAGGCACGAAAGCGUGGGGAUCAAACAGG
Molecule: ribosomal RNA, 253 nt
Filed under: uncultured bacterium
Lineage: Bacteria
Description: partial 16S ribosomal RNA
Rfam family: Bacterial small subunit ribosomal RNA
Source: RNAcentral